Molecule: ribosomal RNA, 254 nt
Filed under: uncultured bacterium
Lineage: Bacteria
Description: partial 16S ribosomal RNA
Rfam family: Bacterial small subunit ribosomal RNA
Source: RNAcentral
UACGAAGGGGGCUAGCGUUGCUCGGAAUCACUGGGCGUAAAGCGCACGUAGGCGGCUUCUUAAGUCAGGGGUGAAAUCCUGGAGCUCAACUCCAGAACUGCCUUUGAUACUGAGGAGCUUGGAGUCCGGGAGAGGUGAGUGGAACUGCGAGUGUAGAGGUGAAAUUCGUAGAUAUUCGCAAGAACACCAGUGGCGAAGGCGGCUCACUGGCCAGGUACUGACGCUGAGGUGCGAAAGCGUGGGGAGCAAACAGG